AUACGUAUGGGGCGAGCGUUGUCCGGAAUGAUUGGGCGUAAAGGGUACGUAGGCGGUUAAUUAAGUCGAGUGUGAAAGGUUGGGGCUCAACCCCAUAAAGCAUUCGAAACUGGUUAACUUGAGAUGUGGAGAGGAAAGUGGAAUUCCUAGUGUAGCGGUGACAUGCGUAGAUAUUAGGAGAAAUACCAGUAGAGAAGGCGCCUUUUUGGACACAAACUGACGCUGAGGUGCGAAAGCGUGGGGAGCAAACAGGAUUAGAUCCCCUGUUAGUCCACGCCGUAAACGAUGAAUGCUAGGUGUCGGGGGUCAAACCUCGGUGCCGCCGCUAACGCAUUAAGCAUUCCGCCUGGGGAGUACGCACGCAAGUGUGAAACUCAAAGGAAUUGACGGGG
RNAcentral lists this ribosomal RNA (392 nucleotides) under uncultured bacterium. RNAcentral describes it as "partial 16S ribosomal RNA". It matches the Rfam family "Bacterial small subunit ribosomal RNA", at positions 523 to 918 of the family's 1533-position model. The record is from RNAcentral.